CUGCCUGAACUCUUCAUUUCACUUUUUAGAUGGUCAUGAAACAGUAUUCGAAAUUCAAGAUCAAAAUGGCACUAUAUGUAAACCAUAUGUUGUUCAUUUGGAUGUGGAUCAAAAUAGAAAUGUCCCAAAUCAAGGUGAUGUAUUCAUUGGUUGACAUAUAUGUGACUAGAGGCACAUAGUUCA
This 183-nucleotide long non-coding RNA is filed under the name Capra hircus (goat). RNAcentral describes it as "lncRNA (ENSCHIG00000007699.1)". Lineage: Eukaryota; Metazoa; Chordata; Mammalia; Artiodactyla; Bovidae. The record is from RNAcentral.